RNAcentral lists this ribosomal RNA (447 nucleotides) under uncultured bacterium. Its description in RNAcentral is "bacterial SSU rRNA". It matches the Rfam family "Bacterial small subunit ribosomal RNA", at positions 330 to 792 of the family's 1533-position model. The record is from RNAcentral.
UCCAGACUCCUACGGGAGGCAGCAGUGGGGAAUAUUGGGCAAUGGGCGCAAGCCUGACCCAGCAACGCCGCGUGAAGGAAGAAGGCUUUCGGGUUGUAAACUUCUUUUCUGAGGGACGAAGAAAGUGACGGUACCUCAGGAAUAAGCCACGGCUAACUACGUGCCAGCAGCCGCGGUAAUACGUAGGUGGCAAGCGUUAUCCGGAUUUAUUGGGUGUAAAGGGCGUGUAGGCGGGGAUGCAAGUUGGGUGUCAAAACUACCGGCUCAACCGAUAGUCGCACUCAAAACUGCAGCUCUUGAGUGAAGUAGAGGCAGGCGGAAUUCCUAGUGUAGCGGUGAAAUGCGUAGAUAUUAGGAGGAACACCAGUGGCGAAGGCGGCCUGCUGGGCUUUUACUGACGCUGAGGCUCGAAAGUGUGGGGAGCAAACAGGAUUAGAUACCCUCGUA